RNAcentral lists this ribosomal RNA (433 nucleotides) under uncultured bacterium. RNAcentral's name for it is "partial 16S ribosomal RNA". It matches the Rfam family "Bacterial small subunit ribosomal RNA", at positions 29 to 507 of the family's 1533-position model. The record is from RNAcentral.
AACGAACGCUGGCGGCAUGCCUAACACAUGCAAGUCGAACGAGACCUUCGGGUCUAGUGGCGCACGGGUGCGUAACGCGUGGGAACCUGCCCUUAGGUUCGGAAUAACUCCCCGAAAGGGGUGCUAAUACCGGAUAAUGUCUUCGGACCAAAGAUUUAUCGCCUUUGGAUGGGCCCGCGUUGGAUUAGCUAGUUGGUAGGGUAAAAGCCUACCAAGGCGACGAUCCAUAGCUGGUCUGAGAGGAUGAUCAGCCACACUGGGACUGAGACACGGCCCAGACUCCUACGGGAGGAAGCAGUGGGGAAUAUUGGACAAUGGGCGAAAGCCUGAUCCAGCAAUGACGCGUGAGUGAUGAAGGCCUUAGGGUUGUAAAGCUCUUUUAACCGGGAUGAUAAUGACAGUACCGGGAGAAUAAGCUCCGGCUAACUCCGUG